AUACGUAGGGAGCGAGCGUUGUCCGGAAUUACUGGGUGUAAAGGGAGCGUAGGCGGGAGUGCAAGUCAGAUGUGAAAUACAUGGGCUCAACCCAUGGGCUGCAUUUGAAACUGCAUUUCUUGAGUGAAGUAGAGGUAAGCGGAAUUCCUGGUGUAGCGGUGAAAUGCGUAGAUAUCAGGAGGAACACCGGUGGCGAAGGCGGCUUACUGGGCUUUUACUGACGCUGAGGCUCGAAAGCGUGGGGAGCAAACAGGAUUAGAUACCCUGGUAGUCCACGCUGUAAACGAUGAUUACUAGGUGUGGGGGGACUGACCCCUUCCGUGCCGCAGUUAACACAAUAAGUAAUCCACCUGGGGAGUACGGCCGCAAGGUUGAAACUUAAAGGAAUUGACGG
Molecule: ribosomal RNA, 394 nt
Filed under: uncultured bacterium
Lineage: Bacteria
Description: partial 16S ribosomal RNA
Rfam family: Bacterial small subunit ribosomal RNA
Source: RNAcentral